CUAGAACUCAUCAUUUUCAAUGGAAAUUUUUCUCCUUUCUUGAGCCUCAUUUAUUGUCUGUCACUGCUGAAAAGAAUUGUCCUCCCACCUCUAACCAUGACCACCACUACCACCAUCACCAAUCCCCACUGAAACACACAUUUCCUUACAACUAUGCCCAACUCUGUGGGCCACGGAGUCCAAGGAAGAAAAGGUGACAAAGAUCAAGAUACUGGGAGAAUGAAGUCUUCUCUUUGCCAAAACUCUGACCUGGGCAUCUCUUCCAACUUUCCUACUCGAUGUGGACCAGAACAUUCUUGUCCAGCAUUACUAAACCCUUGCUGGAUAUGAUUGUCUAGUCUGAUGUUAAAUUCACAAGUCUAUUUGGCUUUCUCACCAAGCCAUAUCUUCUGUGGUGUUCCUUAAAAGCAAUAAACAUACAUUGGUGUAGAUAUGCUCUUCCUUUGCUUUUUUCUUAAUUUUUCAGGAUAAUAGAGUAGGUGUCCAUUCAUACUUUUAGCAGGAAUUGUGAAAUUUUUAAUGAAAGUUGGACCUUAUCAAAUACUUUUGCAACAUCGACUAGAGAUAAUUUAAUUAUCUCUCUUUUUUUGUUUUGUUACUCUUUUCACAAAUAGACACCAAUGUGGGGCUUAAUAAAUCAUUUUUGCAUUAAAUUAUAAUUAAAUGUUUAAAUGUUUAUGAGUAAAUGGAGUUAUCAUAAAAAG
RNAcentral lists this long non-coding RNA (704 nucleotides) under Homo sapiens (human). Its description in RNAcentral is "HSALNT0073649". The record is from RNAcentral. Lineage: Eukaryota; Metazoa; Chordata; Mammalia; Primates; Hominidae.